Molecule: long non-coding RNA, 1433 nt
Organism: Astatotilapia calliptera (eastern happy)
Lineage: Eukaryota; Metazoa; Chordata; Actinopteri; Cichliformes; Cichlidae
Source: Ensembl
UGGACACACAUAAAUACACGCUGAAUGCUUGCUGUGGAACACUGGGCAGGACAGUUUGGUUCUCCGUGUUCACAGAUUACACAAUUAAAGGAACUAGGUUCCUCUUUUGGUUAAAAUAAUACACCACACAUAGAAUUUUUUUACACAUUUAUUACAUACAUAAGGAGGGUAAUGAGUGACUGCAGGUAAUGUAUGAAGUGUGAAUGAGACGUGUGAACAAGGUGACAACCAACUAGCACCCCUAUCAGGAAGCUCUAGGCAAGGUUACCCGCCAGACUCCGGUUUGGUAGAAGCCUGGUAACACCUGAAGGGAUAUUUCAGUGCUGACUCACCUUUAAAGCAGCGCCCCAGCUGUUAGUGCCUAACAGAGGCAGAAACCCAGCUGGCCCAAAUUCUCCUUUAAAAUCAAUAAAUAGAACAUAAAUUACCGGUGUGUGUAAAUAAGUUGUAUAAAUCUGUUAGAUCUGAAACUCCUGCUAAAAAACUUCCUCUCUACAACUCUUUUCUCUUCUCUCCCUCUUUCUCUCAGUUGGGAUUCUGUGUGUGUAUGUGUGCUGGAGAAAUAAAAAAAAAGGAAAAGGGUCUCUCUCUGUCUCUGUGAGAGGAAAAAGGUGGGGGCCGAGUGAGCCCGCGGGGCCGAGCGGGUCCGCGGGAGCGAGCGUGUAUGCUGUAUGAGGAAGAAGGGAGUGAGAGGGAGCGAGUGAAAAGAGUAAUCGAGUAUUUGGUGAUUUUUUAUUAUUUCAGAGGCACUGGUUUGACCUAGAGCCCACUAACUGGCCAUUAGGGGCUCUCUCUCUCUCUCUCUCUCUCUCUCUCUCUCUCUCUCUCUCUCUCUCUCUCUCUCUCUCUCUCUCUCUCUCUCUCUCUCUCUCAGGUUGUUGCUCUUUAACUCCUAGAACACGCCCUUGGCGAGGUGGGGGGAACUGGACCACCUUUCUGUGCCCCAUCAUCCUCUAUUAGACGACAUCCAAGCUAAGACAGCUGUUACUGCUUUCAUCGGGAACCGAGACUGCUUGCAGCCGACCCCUGGGCAGGGUGGUGCCUGGACUCUUUUCUCCUCAUCUGCAAUGACAGAUAAAGACAAAUGAUAAGACCCGAGGAGUUUUUCGAGCCAGGCUUCGACACGUCUCUGUGUUCCUUUGAAUGUUACUUAUUUUUGUGUGUUGACCCAUUUAAGAUGGGUCAAAAGGGGGAUUUGAAGAAAAUAUAAUCUGAUCAAACAUUAUUCAGCUUUAAAUAUUGUUCAGCUUUAAAGUUACUGUGCAACUGUGUAAUAAAAAUAUGCGCUCACGACUUUGGCCUUGAGAGCGAUAAGAAGCGAUCGCCUCAUUCUGCAGGUGCAAGAUAUCUGCAAGCGAAGAGACUAGAACACCCAAGGCCGCUUUCCUUUUAUGGAGUUGUUUUUCUGCUAAUGCAGCACUGUCCUCACAACC